GUAGACCCUGGUUAGUGUCCUCUAGGUAGACCCUGGUUAGUGUCCCCUAGAUGGACCCUGGUUAGUUUCCCUUAGGUAGACCCUGGUUAGUGUCCUCUAGGUAGACCCUGGUUAGUGUCCCCUAGAUGGACCCUGGUUAGUUUCCCUUAGGUAUACCCUGGUUAGUGUCCUCUAGGUAGACCCUGGUUAGUGUCCCCUAAAUAGACCCUGGUUAGUUUCCCUUAGGUAGACCCUGGUUAGUGUCCUCUAGGUAGACGCUUGUUAGUGUCCCCUAGGUAGAGCCUGGUUAGUGUCUAUCAGGGUCAUUUCAUUGGCUCAUUUCACCGUACUUCUGUGACAUAACUGGGAUUUGAAAUGGUGAUUUUCCUUUGUGGUGCCAGCAGCGAGCUGCAGGACCCUUCUCCCAUCAAAUAGCUUCUCUUAAAAAGAUUAUUCUGGGCCUAUCAGAGGAUGUCAUUUGGAAGCAAAUGCAUUGGGGAGCUCUGCCCAUCUGUUAUAUGUAAUCUAAUUUUCUCAUGCUCCAAAAGCUGGCCAGGAAGAAAAAAAGGAAAUCUCCAGGAUCUCUGAAGCCUUUUAACGUGUUACGGACACGUUUUCUCACUCAGCUCACAUUUCUCACUCACCCCGGGAUCACUUCUGUCCAAAAAUGUUCUCAACAACGGUUUAUAUACAACACCACAUUCAUGAUGCGGACCGGGAGCGUUCCAGAGAUCCGACCUGAAGGUAUCAAACGCUCCGGAAAAGAUCUGCCAAACUGCUCCAGACCCGAUCUUGCCAGUCAGUAUUUGAACUGGGAAACAGGGCGCGUUCGGUGUGCGGGUCCGCGGCGGAUCCGCUGUUUGAAGGUGCGCGAUCCGUAGGAUCCAGGAUAAUUUCCUUGGCAACCAUUAACCAUUACAUCCAACAGCCAUCAGGCUCACUGUGACAAACCUGACAUGACACAUUCAACUCGAUGCGCUAACGUUUUGUUUCCAUUUCAAAAGGCAUUUCUCUUCUCUCUUUGCUACGUUUACGGCGGGCGUCCACUCACUUCACUACUGAGAAGUCAGUGUGGGUAAAAUAGAUUUUUAUUUUGCCCAAAGGUAGCACCAAUCAUAAUCAUUUCUAAAACUGUGCUAAAACUCCCACGUGGACGGAAAUUAUUUGAAAUGGAAAUAUAUUAGUGGAGCUAAUGGCUCGGUUCAGUGUAGUUAGAGUAUUAAAUGAGCCUGAAGUUUAUUAGAAGUGUUUACAGAUUAGAGCUCAGCUCCACUACCUAACUGCCCCCUAUCACGACGCAUUUACUCAAUCAGACGUUCAUGAAGGGGCAAAGGUAUGAAUUCCAAACUCAACUCAACGCAAGUGGAUAAUGCCUUCAUGUCUGCCGGGACCUCGGGCUCGUCAGCCCGCCGGCGUCCCCGGCCGAGGCACUUGGGAGUUGAACUUUGCACGUGAGCGGUCGGAUACGAGGUGGGCGUCUGCUCCGGGGAUCUGGUGGGAGCCGCACCGGGCUACUAAUGCACGGUAUGGUGAUUUAAGCGAAGCCUCUUGUGCCUCCUGGGCUAAUUAUCCAGGUCCCAGAAUGUCUGAACUUUUCCUUUUCCUCACCACGAUCCACUUGGAGUCUAUUUCCUGCCUCUGGUUACACUCCCUCAUUACUUAAGUUUUGCAUUUGCCGGCUUGCUUGCUUCACCGCUUCCUUCGUAUCUGCUUCUUUACUCAAGCUUUAAAUUCCCCUUCCUAUACUUUCCUCUCCACCUGCUGUAUGUAAGACCGUGUUGCUCAUUAUGCCUCUGAGGGAGGGCAGAAAUUGCAUUUUGUCCGAGUUGAACUCGUGUGCCCUGUUACUCAGCUGGCAGAAGGUUUUUUUUUUCUAUUUGCAAAUUCUGUCACUAGUGGGGGGUUUUGUAAGCAGUUACUAUUUAGGUUGCUUAACUUACACUCAUUGUUUUCUGGGCCACGUUGUUCGAAGAUGCUAUUUGCAAAGGACUCGUGGCCCUUCACUCAUCAAUGAAGCCUUUGGGGGAAAAUGCAAACUACUGCGAAUGUGUCGUACAGCGUUUAUCCACAGCAGCAGGGACAUGGCAACAGUUGCAGCACUAUUUGAAUUUAAUGUCUGAAUACAUUUUUCAUUAAUGUGCCUCGGGCGAAAUGCUGAAUAAUUUGAAUGGCCCUCCGGUAAGAAGGUUUUAUUGUGACAGGUAAGAAGGGAAGGAGUGGAUCUAGUCUGCGCUCUUUGUGCAAUAAGGUUUACGCACUUUAAUGGCAACUGAAAUACAGUAAACAUAGAGUUAAAAUGAAAUAAAAGCAUUGUUAGAUAAUGAAACGUAAAGGCAGAUCAAGGAUGCUAACAAAUGCCAGCGAACACGUUAAAGUAAAUGUCACUUCCUGCGCUGACCGUCGCCUCUGAACAUGAAUCAUGAAUCGUGAGUCCUUCCCGUCGCCAAACAUUCACUUAUGUAUCGAGGACGAUUGAAGAGUCUCCACGUUCAUUAUUUUCCUGCCUUUCACCUCGUUGGUCCUUCUGGGAAUCUUCCUCUUCCUCCUUUCCUGGUACCCCGGGACCCCCCCCACGCCCCCUCCUUCCUCAUUACGAGGAGAAUAGAGGAUGUCUGCUCGGCCUCGGGGGCAGCGAUGAUCAUCUGCUGUUGAACCACACGCAUGCAUGUAUGGAUGCAACAACCACAAACAUAUUGUGCAAUACUCACUAACGUUUGGAUUUAAAUGUUACAUGCAUGUUAUCUUUGUGCACAUACUUCUUACUAACCUUCUAUCUUCAAAACAGGACCCAAAUCAUGAGGGGACAACUGCAGAGGAGUUCAACAUGACGUACAAGAGGCGAUCCCCAAAGACACUGUGGAUGUAUGAAUCUCAAAUUAACUCCUGGGCAAAAAAAGUCCCAUAAGAGAAAAGCGAAAAUGGUGUCAGUGAGCUGAGGAGAGAAGAGGAAGAGGAGGAGGAGGCAAAAUAAAACAUUCGACACACUACAGAAGUUCUUUUUCAUUCCAACUCAGAUGCUCCUCAGAUGCUCCUGAGCUCCGAGGGUCACAGUCACAGACGUCCGUCCACGUGUCCAUUGUCUCUGUGUGUGAGUGGACAGCGAGCUUUGUUGAUGCUGACACAUGGAGGGAGAAACUCCAGACCAGAUGAGAACAGAAGGGACGAGAGAAGAAAGGGAGAAGGACGGGAUGUGAAAUGAGAGAGGAGCUGGGAAGAUAACAGGAGAAUAAAAGGAAGGAAGGAAGGAGGCCAGGAGAGAGGAGGAGACAGGGG
Molecule: long non-coding RNA, 3252 nt
Organism: Gasterosteus aculeatus aculeatus (three-spined stickleback)
Lineage: Eukaryota; Metazoa; Chordata; Actinopteri; Perciformes; Gasterosteidae
Source: Ensembl